This is a ribosomal RNA of Penicillium chrysogenum, 120 nucleotides long. The record is from Rfam. Lineage: Eukaryota; Fungi; Ascomycota; Eurotiomycetes; Eurotiales; Aspergillaceae.
ACAUACGACCAUAGGGUGUGGAGAACAGGGCUUCCCGUCCGCUCAGCCGUACUUAAGCCACACGCCGGUGAGUUAGUAGUUGGGUGGGUGACCACCAGCGAAUCCUCACUGUUGUAUGUU